Molecule: non-coding RNA, 571 nt
Organism: Agelaius phoeniceus (red-winged blackbird)
Lineage: Eukaryota; Metazoa; Chordata; Aves; Passeriformes; Icteridae
Source: RefSeq, a predicted model, not a curated record
GGGGAAAAGCGAAAACGACAGGCGAGACAGCAAAUCGAGACGCGGGCCACGAUCCGUCGGCCCAAUGGGCGCCGCGGAGGGCCCGGCUUAGUGGAGGAAGUGGUCGGGGCGGACACGGGCGUUGUCCUUGGCUGGCGAGAGUGUGGGGGCGCUGGUCUCUGGCCCUGGUGGCGCCACUACUGUCUUCGGAAAGAUUAUCGGGAGUAAAGUAGCAGGAGUGACGUGAACCGACGAUGAGUGAAUUUUACGAGCGGCGAGGAGAGUGCGACGAUAGCCCAGGCAGGGCCGGUGUCGGUGCCGAACGAUCGUGUGUGUCGCUUCUGUCCCGAGCACCCAUCUUGAUGGAAUGGAGCCCAAGUCACGGCCUGUUUUUAAACAUCCGGAAGGGUGGAGGAAACCCAUGGAAUGGGAAACUAAUGUCUAUCUUUGAAAGGAAGUGGGACGGUAGUUAAUGAAAAUGUAUACGUGUGUUGGGCAUAAAGAUGGUUUAAGCAUGGAGUUUAAGUUGUAAGCGUUGGUAAGAAGGGAUUUCAGUCAUGACAAAUAAAUACAACGGAAUAAUUAGAAGACA